RNAcentral lists this ribosomal RNA (504 nucleotides) under uncultured bacterium. RNAcentral describes it as "bacterial SSU rRNA". It matches the Rfam family "Bacterial small subunit ribosomal RNA", at positions 1 to 525 of the family's 1533-position model. The record is from RNAcentral.
UAGAGUUUGAUCAUGGCUCAGGACGACCCUUUACGGCGUGCCUAACACAUGCAAGUCGAACGGAGAUAUGACUUCGGUUGUAUCUUAGUGGCGAACGGGUGAGUAACGCGUGAGCAACCUGACCUUCAGAGGGGGAUAACACCCGGAAACGAGUGCUAAUACCGCAUAAGACCACACCGUGACAUCGCGGAGAGGUCAAAGGAGCAAUCCGCUGAGGGAGGGGCUCGCGUCCCAUUAGAUAGAUGGCGGGGUAACGGCCCACCAUGUCGACGAUGGGUAGCCGAGCUGAGAGGCUGAUCGGCCACACUGGAACUGAGACACGGUCCAGACUCCUACGGGAGGCAGCAGUGGGGAAUAUUGGGCAAUGGGCGAAAGCCUGACCCAGCAACGCCGCGUGAGGGAAGAAGGCCUUCGGGUUGUAAACCUCUGUCUUUGGUGACGAAAAAAAUGACGGUAGCCAAAGAGGAAGCCCCGGCUAACUACGUGCCAGCAGCCGCGGUAAUA